RNAcentral lists this unclassified non-coding RNA (1691 nucleotides) under Haliotis rubra (blacklip abalone). Its description in RNAcentral is "methionine adenosyltransferase 2 subunit beta-like, transcript variant X2". The record is from RNAcentral. Lineage: Eukaryota; Metazoa; Mollusca; Gastropoda; Lepetellida; Haliotidae.
AUCGAAUUCACAGUUGUCUUUCCUUACUUGCCACUUCAGUCAAUGUUGUAAACAACGUGUUCGAUUUCAGUAACGUGGUGUCAACAACGCUUGAGAAAUAAAACCGCACCAGUCACACCUGCACUUUAAAAAGGUAGACUUCUUGGAAUGGCGUUGAAGCGAGUUUUGAUCACUGGAGCGUCAGGACUGUUGGGGAGAGCUAUAUUUGGGGAGUUUUCUGCUGAUGCAUCAUGGGAGGUUCUUGGGCUAGCUUUCUCAAGAAGUAGGGACAAACUGAAAAAGGUUGAUUUAACCGAUCCCAGUUCCGUCCAGCAAGUUGUACAAGACUUCAAGCCGUCUAUUGUAAUCCACGCAGCAGCAGAAAGACGCCCUGAUGUUGUCGAGAAACAAGACGAGGCCACACAAAAGAUCAACAUUGAUGCUACACGGACCCUGUGUACAGAGGCAGGCAAGGUUGGUUCAUGGGUGCUGUUUGUGAGUACCGACUAUGUCUUUGAUGGGUCCAAGCCUCCAUACACAGUGACAGACCAGCCUACCCCUCUCAACAAGUAUGGCCAGAGUAAAUACCAAGGGGAGAGGGUCACACUGGAAACUAGCAAAGAUAAUGGUGUCCUGCGUGUCCCCAUUCUGUAUGGAGAAGUGGAGUAUCUGGGGGAGAGUUCUGUCACAGUUUUGUUUGAGAAGGUAAAGGACACCACAAAGACAUGUGUCAUGUCUGACUACGAACGUCGGUACCCCACAACCUGCCAGGACGUCGCGGUCACCAUCCGACAGUUGUCAGACAAGAGACUACAGGAUAGCUCCAUCAACGGCAUAUUCCACUGGAGUGGUGAUGAAAACAUGACCAAGUACGACAUGGCUGUGGCGAUGGCAGAGAUAUUCAACCUCCCGACUAGUCACAUCGAAGCCGACAAGAAGCCGUCCCCUGGAGUAACGCGGCCCUUCAACUCCCAGUUGGACUGUUCCCGUCUCGAGGCGUUGGGCUGUGGACAGAGGACCAAGUUCAAAGAAGGCAUCGCACACGUUCUCCAGAACUACAAACCAUAGACACGCAUUGAAGCAAAGGAGAUGCAUGUGGAAGAUUACAUUUACUGAGUAUUACAUAUGGUGUUAUCUCUAUUCAUGAAGGAUAUAUUGAUUUACUUUUCCUGCUGAUUUUACAAAGGUAAAGUGGACACAGUCUAAAUCUUUGUAUUGAACAAAUAUGGUGCUUAGUCUGAAGAUCAAACAUGAAACACCAACCUAUCAUGACAUCAGGUGGGCACACUACCAUGCACCGCUCGACUACCGUAAUCUAACCAGGUGACUUGUCCCAGUUCAUUAACACAUCCUACGGUGAUGGAAUUAGAUGGUUUUAGAAGGUGUACCUGAUACAGUGUUUCUCUUCAAAAACUUGUUUUCCGAAUUUUCUAUUGUUAUUUCCUUUCACAUUCGACUAGAAGUAAUUGUAAGAUAAUUUGAUCUUCAAAUUUGGGGGGGCCGGGGAGAUUUGUCAUCUUCUGAUGACUCUUGUUUUGUCUCAGUUAAGACACUAAUAUAUUAAAUAGUGGAACAGAAAACAUUACCAAAAAUCUUCUCAGCAACAAUUUUAGACAUGGAAAGAUAACAGUUCAAUUAUUAAGAUCAUAUAUAUCAUAUCUAGGCUUCCCUAUACACAAUAGGGGGGCGGGGUAGCCUAGUGGUGGGCUCCC